GGGGCGGACGUACCCAAGUGGAUUAAGGCAGG
This 32-nucleotide transfer RNA is filed under the name Riccardia longispica. RNAcentral describes it as "partial tRNA-His". Lineage: Eukaryota; Viridiplantae; Streptophyta; Jungermanniopsida; Metzgeriales; Aneuraceae. The record is from RNAcentral.